This 74-nucleotide transfer RNA is filed under the name Microgenomates group bacterium. Its description in RNAcentral is "tRNA-Pro". It matches the Rfam family "tRNA". From Rfam's summary of the family: Transfer RNA (tRNA) molecules are approximately 80 nucleotides in length. Their secondary structure includes four short double-helical elements and three loops (D, anti-codon, and T loops). Further hydrogen bonds mediate the characteristic L-shaped molecular structure. tRNAs have two regions of fundamental functional importance: the anti-codon, which is responsible for specific mRNA codon recognition, and the 3' end, to which the tRNAs corresponding amino acid is attached (by aminoacyl-tRNA synthetases). tRNAs cope with the degeneracy of the genetic code in two manners: having more than one tRNA (with a specific anti-codon) for a particular amino acid; and 'wobble' base-pairing, i.e. permitting non-standard base-pairing at the 3rd anti-codon position. The record is from RNAcentral.
CGGAGUGUAGUUCAGAUGGCUAGAACGUCAGGCUGGGGGUCUGAAGGUCGCCGGUUCAAGUCCGGCCACUCCGA